Molecule: long non-coding RNA, 3951 nt
Organism: Anolis carolinensis (green anole)
Lineage: Eukaryota; Metazoa; Chordata; Lepidosauria; Squamata; Anolidae
Exons: 2
Source: RefSeq, a predicted model, not a curated record
ACUUGCAGACCGAAAGGUCCCAGGUUCAAACCCCAGGAGCAGCGUGAGCGGCCGCUGUUAGCUCCAGCUCCUGCCAACCUAGCAGUUCAAAAACAUGCCAAUUAUGAGUAGAUCAAUAGGUACCGCUCCGGCAGGAAGGUAACGGCGCUCCAUGCAGUCAUGCCGGCCACAUGACCUUGGAGGUGUCUACAGAUAAUGCUGGCUCUUCGGCUUAGAAAUGGAGAUGAGCACCAACCCCCAGAGUCAGACAUGACUGGACUUAACGUCAGGGGAAACCUUUACCUUUACCUAUUCCCUUUUGAAACUGGAAAUGAAGGGGAAAGUUAAAGAAAUUGAGUGAAACUGAUUUUUUUUUUCAUUUUAUAACAUCUAGAAUCCUAUACUGGUUGGAGAAUUCUGGGAGUUGUAGUCCAGAAAAGGAACACUUCCAAGCUGCAAGUCUGAAGGAUUGUGGACCGGCCCUCUGCUUCAAAAGUUUGAGGACCCCUGCAUUAGAUCAUGAAGAGUCGGAAGCAACUGAAGAAAUAAACAACACACAUCUAUAUGAGACAAUCACACAUCUAUAUGAGACAAUCAGGUGUCGGUCUGAAAUGUAAGUGAGCAUCACUAAAGAGCACUGCCCCUUCAAAUAAGAAUUCUGUCCACGAAUGAAAUUAUUCUUCUGUCUCCAGAUUGCUAGCAUUGCUUCCACAAACAUUUAGAAAUAACAUCUAAGGAAAAGGAGAGGUCUAGGAAAUGUGAACACAGCAGGGCUCUAGGUGUGAAUGAUUUCCAGUGUCUCACUCUGCAAUGCUAAUUUCAGUUGAGUGGAGCAGAAUUCCUUCUUGGGAGACAAUGAUCUCAUUUUAACACUCCCUUUACAGUGGUAUUCCUGGAGGUAACCAGAUGUCAGCAUAUACAAGUGAGCUUAUAGCACUGAUGUGUGCUCUUAGAGCUUGGAAAAUUAAGUUUAAGGACAUCAAAGAAAAUGCCACAGGGAGCCCAUCCAUAACAUGAGCAGUGGUAGGAUCCAGAGCCCCACUGUACUCACUGCUCAGUUAUGGAAGGCUUCAGUCUGUCAAUAUAAUCUCUUAAAAGGAACUCACCAAGCUCAGCUGCUACGGAGGGUGAGAGUUCAGUGCCAGAGUGCACAUUUCAAGACAGCAGGUACAACAAAGUAUAAGCAAGUGAGAAUCUUUAUGACAGAGCAGGACAGCUGCAGGCAGUGAAUUUGGCGAAAUGGCCAGCUUGGGCUAUGUAAGGUGUACAGUUAAGAAAAGGCCUUCUUUAGAUUCUGCAUCGCCUGUCUGCUGACAGUGCUCUAUGGCUGCUUUGACUCUUGAGCCACACCCAGAUACCGGGAAGAAAUCAGGGGUUUGAAUUGUUUCUUAUUUGGGCACAGUUAGAGAAAAUGACAAAAGGGUUAUCAAACCACAAUAAUUAUACAGUGUGGGCAUGUCCCAGAACUUGUUAAAUUUCAGCUCCCAUUUCUCACCAAAGACUACGCUGUCAUGCUUUGCAAAGGCACUGUGCUGUGUGUGUUAGCUGGAAAAUGAAGCCAAUUGGCUGAGCCUGCAAAGACCUGGGGAUUGAUUUGAUACUGUUACUGCUCUGCUACUGCAGAACCAGUUUGGACAAGUUUUUCAGUGCUGACUGAGUACUGCUGGUGAAGAGAACUGUGUACUCAGAGAGGCAUUGCUAUUUUGAGGCCUGUUUGCUGCUGAGAAAAGAGGGUGAAAAACCAAGACUGUAUCCUUGAGAGACCAUUGUAAAUAUUACUGCUUUUUGCUCUCUUGGAAUCAGUGAAGUUCCUGUAUUUUUGUUCUACAAAUCUGAGUGGCAUGUUAUUGUUCUGCAGGUGACUCUGGAUCGUGGACGCAUCUAAGAGCUUCCAUUUAUUGUCAUCAAUCCGCAAUAUAUGCCAGAGGGCCACAAAUAGCCCACUUUUGAUCUAUAGUGGGUUGGCAAAGCAAAGCCCUGGGCUCAAAUGUGGGCCCUGUGUUCCUGGACUAUUCUUUUUGAGUAAGACGAGAGGGAGGGGGUGAAUUGCCUUUCCUGAAAGACUCGAGGAGCAGCCGUUCCUCCCUAGAAUGAGUCACAGAUGGUCCCUUGCAUUGUUUUACAUCAAAAAUUCAAUAAGGACAACAACAAAGCAGAAGUGAAUUUUGACCACUUUUGCAUUGGGUUUUUUUUUUAAUCUAAUUGAACCCCAGUUCUGUCAAAGUUGUCACCUUGUUCUAUAGAAUUUGACAAUUCCCCAGCAUAUCAGACUAGGACAAAGUCGCCGGUGUCUUUCUCAGCCCUAUUUGAAGAUGCUAGUGCUGAAUGUAGGACUUUCUCCUAACUGAGCUCUAGCCCUUGCCCUUCAGCAAGGAAGCACCACAGCCUGCUUGCAUAGCUGCCAACUAGGCUUCCAAUGGAUGCCCACUGUGAAAGAUUUCAGCCUCUUCUAGAGGCAAUAAAUGCAUGCUUCCAGGACUAAUCUGGAAAUGCAAGUGAUCAAAAAGCUGUGGGAAGAACCCAUGGACUAGGGCAGCAGGAAGGUGGUGAGAUAAAUGCAUACAGUAUCUAUAUUUAACAGCAACUUGAUAUUAGAACACAAUGUUUUCUUCAGCUGGUACAUAAACUUUAUUGUCUGCAAAUUCUUUCAGAACAAACAGUUGUUAAAGAAGUACAGUUACAGGAGAGGGUUGAAUGGAUUGCAGUCUUACUGUAUAUGGAAUGUUUGAAAUUACAUGACAUGAUGGAGCGGCGGACAGUAUUAUUUUGGAAGUGCAUUAUAUGGUGUGAAAUUAAUUUGGAAAGAAUCCCCACAUGCUUCAGACUGGGAUUGAAAUAGUAAAUGGACCUCCAUGGACCACACCAAAAUUCUGAUCAGCUUUCAGACUGCUCACUCUCCAACCCCCCUAUAGAAGCUGAAUUGAUUGUUGUUGAGAGUGCUACAUUGGAACAGUCAGUGACAGGUUAGAACAAGACUCCAGUCCAAUUAAAGAAAGGAAAAGGCUCUCCUGGGAUCCCUUGUCUACUCAUCCAGACGUAAAGGGAAGAGGCAGCUACACAGACAUGAAGAGAAGACAUCAAGAAGAUGAAUAGGUGGAAAGGUGGAGCCAGAAAGGUCUAAGCUGAAAAAGAGCUUAGCUCUUCUGAAGAAUUGUAUCAAAUGAACCAAACUGCAACUUGAAAGCAAAAGAUUAUGGAAGGAAAUCCCCAUAAUAAUGCAGUGUAUGUGCUUUUGAGUGACUUGAUGACCCAACAAAACACAUACGGUUCCUUAAGUGGUUUGCCAUUGCCCUUCUCUGACAUCACUUGUUCUUCCCUGGCAAACCCCAAUCUCAGUAUUAAGUAGGCCUGGCCCUGUUUACAUUCCAAGAUCAGAUGGGAUAUGGUUUUAAGGAUACUGAAGCCAUGUCAGAAAGACUGGGGGGGAAUUUUAUAGUUUGUCAAGAGGAGGAGAUGAUGAUGAUGAUGAUGAUGAUGAUGAUGAUGAAGAGGAGGAGGAAGAAGAAGAAGACCAUCAUCAGCUGCUUUAACUUGGUAGUAGUUUUUGGCUGAAUUCUUGGGAUGUCAGAGAAAACCAUCCCAAGAUGAAGAAAAGUUGAAACUAUUGCCAAGCGCUUGAGCUUCUACAACAAUAUGAUGCUUUGGAACGAAUCUUCUGCUAUUAAUACAUACCUUGACGAAUGUAUGAAGUCACUAUAUUAACAGUAUUACAAUGUUGCUCUACCUAUUAUGUAGCAUAACUUAUGACUGCAAUCCUAAACACCUUUUCAGGGAACCAAGAGCUCGUCUACACAAUCUGGAUAUUAGAAGAUCAAUCCAGAGGUAAACACCCAAUAACAACUGUACUAGGAUGGGAUUUUUUAGUCUUUCUCGAUCAUGUUUUAUUGAAAAAUCCACACAACACUAGAUUUAAAUUGUGGACAACACUGUCAUCUAUGCAAACAUAAAAAAAUUCAGUUGUUUUCUUUUUUU